AGUGGCGCGAAGCUACCG
This 18-nucleotide small nuclear RNA is filed under the name Arabidopsis thaliana (thale cress). RNAcentral describes it as "snRNA_14847". Lineage: Eukaryota; Viridiplantae; Streptophyta; Magnoliopsida; Brassicales; Brassicaceae. The record is from RNAcentral.